UCCCCAGGUGACCACACGGGCGCUGGACAGAGCAGCUUCGGAGAGACAGCCCUGCGGUCAGCACGUCCUGGUGUCUGUGUGUUUGAAGGGGAGACCGAGGGCUGGCCCAGCCCACAAACCUACGAAUCUAGCAUCUUCUAGGUGGAGACGUGGCCCCCGGAGACGGUGCUGUGUUCUCAGACCGUCAGCUGGGGUCGGGCAGCGGGUUGGGGGCCACGCCCUGAGAACAGUCGUGGAGGACAGGAGCCCCUCCUGCAGACGUGGCCCUCGGACAUUGCGGGCGGGAACAGGCUGGCAGAGGCCCAGCGCCGUCUGAACAGGAGCCCGGCCCCAUCACCACCUGGCCUGAGCGUGGAGCCUGGGCCCAAGGAAACAGGCCGGGGCUGAGCACAGACCCCGGAUGCUGGCAGUGGUGUGCAGCCCUAAAGACCUGGGGACUUGUGGACAGAAGCACCGGUGGGUGGGCUGGUGGCUGACUCGAGGGGCAUCUCCGGAGAAGCGGGGAGGUACUGAAAGGCGGAAACUUCCAGGAGGCCCUGCGGCCCGUGGGAGGCCGGAUGGAGCCGGGCUGGGGGCAGAGAUCAUGCAGGCAUCUGAGAUGGCCCUGUGGAAGGCCACACGUCGGGAAGGCCCUGGUGUCUGGGGAGUGAGCGCUGGCAGGGCCGCGGGUGGGAGACCGUGCUCGGACGGGCAGGCAGGUGCGGAGCGCCAGUCAGAGAUGAAGGAGGGACAAAAUCCGCCUGUCCCAGCUCAGCACAGAGAGAGCUCUGCUGCGAAGCAAGAAAACAGCCCCUCUUGCUAUUUUUUAUAAAAAAAAAUAAGCCAGAAGAUGUGACAGGUGGCAGAGCCAUCGUGCGUGAGAUAAUUAUGUCUCUGGGGCACUGAGAACCAGAGCCAGCAGCCUUUACUGCUCCGAGCCAGCUGAUAACCUUUCCCACCCAAAGACGCUGCGAGGGCUGCAGGGUUCAGUCACGUUACACGGCACGUGGGCGGAGGCCGGGGCCACGGGUGGCGUCUUACUUAGGGCCACAGUUUAAAGGAAAAGCAAAUGUCUUCCAGCUGCGCCUGGAUGGUGGGGAGCCGGGGGGCUCCCUCCUCUAGCCCAGCCAGGCUUGCUGGACGGCUGACCCCUCGCUGAGGGACGUGAGCUAGCAUGGGCGGUCAUCAGCCCGGCAGCUCUGCCACAGGGCCUGGCCCGGCCCCACCUUCUCUCGGAGAUUUCCGGAGGCCUCUCGGGGCCCUUCAGUGCAGCCCACACGCCCUCCCUAUGUCUCCCUCUCAGUCCGGUGGGUCGUCAGCAAAGGCGGGUUCUUAAGAAGUCCCACGUGGGGCACCGAGGUCUGAGCGUCCGCGUCUCCCAGGCAGUGACUCUGGGACGCGGUGCGGGAGGACCAGGGCUCCUGUUGGGGAUGACGUCCUGGGUAAGCGUGGUCACUGGCUGUGGCUCCUUCCUGGGUGUUCUGGAAUGUUCUGAGGAGGAGGAAAUGGAGUGGGACUUUCUCUCCCCCGUGGUUGCGUGUCCUGACGUGCGAGCCUGGACGCCACGCUGAAGCCUGGUUGCUGUUGCCGCUCUCAGGUUGUGAGCAUCGUUCCAGGCUCGCUGGGUCCAAAGCACUCACCCCUCCAAGCUCUGUGUUACUGGAGCACCCCAGGUAAGAAGGGGGGUCCUCGGGGGCACGUGUCUGGAGACAAAGGGAAGCCCAGGUAUGGGAGAGCGGAGGGCCUCACACUCCCCGUGUAGGGGGGUCAGUGCACUUCGUGGGACCAGGGGCACCCGGUCUCCGCAGCCUUCGUGUCCUGGGAGGUGACCACCAGCUCGGGGUUUGGAGAGCUGCUCACGCCGCCGGUGGGCAGGGGAGCCGGGAGCCUGCGGGCGCCGUGUCCGCUGCCCCAGCCCUGCGUUCCAGCCGGGUGGUGGGUGCCGCCCCCUGGAUCCCAGCGAGUCCACAACACCGGGGGGCCCGGCUGCUCCAGACCCUGCUGGGGACCAGCCUGCUCAGAAGGCGUGCGGGCUCCCCUCAGUUACUGCUCCACAAGGUAGGAUUUCCUCCCCACGUUUCCCGUGGAUUCUUGAAGAGCAGCAGGUACCGAAAGUGGGUACCUCGCAUGUAAGGCCGCGAGCGCAGCCCUGCUGGGUGGGCCUGACCCUUGUCCAGACCAGCUGCCUCUUUCCCUCAGGCCUCCACAACCAACCUCCCAGGAAACCGCGGUUGUCUUUGCUGAUGUGAAGGUUUAAAACGGGAGACACUGGAACUCCCUCUGCUUCACUCAGUUGCUCAGUUUGCAUUUGUCAUUAUUGGACAAAUAUUUGAACUUCUUGGGAGCUGCUUGUAUGCUUAGCCUUUCCGCUUCUUGGAGUCGUGAGCCCGUAGGUUUGCUCCCUGCCGUGUGACACAGCGAUUCCCCGAAUCCUCCCGACUCGCCCUAACGUCCGUCAGAUGGUACUGCAGGCACCGUCUAGGCUGACGCACGUCUGAGGCGACGUCCUUGACUCCAUGCACGGCUGGUGUGGACCCCCGUCACAGUCCACCUCUUGGGGACCCACUAGCUUGAACCUCCCGUGCUAUCCGGGGACCCCUAGCUCACUUCUGUGAUGAGAUGCACGUCCAUCGGUAUCAUCGACCCUCUGCAUCGGAGCCCGUUUCUGACUCUACCUUCUCUAUAGAACUGUGCGCUUUGAGACUAAAGGGACCUCGCACACACCAGCUGGAUUGGGGUCUGCCAUUUACAAGGUGCAGCCUGCCUCACUCACGGGGCCUCUCCUGCAGAAGCCGCAGGCACAGAAGAGGUGCAGGGGGUCCCCGCAGGCGGUCCCCAGGCCCCUCUAGGAGCCAACGGGCAGCCGCCCUGCACGUCCCAGGGGGCGAGCCUGAGGUUGCCGCCCAGGCCCAGCUCUGGGACUCCUGGUGCGCGGCUCUCUUCCCUCCUUCGGUCCAUCCCAGAGUACUUCUGUGGAAGUCCGUGUGUCCCUCUCUGACGCCAGCUGCGCCCUAGUCUCAGGCAAUGUUGUCCCGUAAGUGCCAGUCUCCUUCAUGGGCUUCUUGUCUUGAAGAUGGUCCUGCCUCCGCUCUGAGGAAGGCCGAGGCCCAGCAGCUCCGGGGUCACUGCCUGUCCCCGUCCACGGCCUCACGUCUGGAGGGAGGGUCCCCUGCGGCCCGCUCCCGCCCCGCCUGCCCCGAGGCUGCAGCUCCUGCAAUUAGGACACACAGAGAAUGCAUCCCUUUUCCAUCUCCGCACGUGACCCUGGCCUGAGCCGCGUCGCAUCACCCCCAGAGCGGCUACGGCAGCCGCUGCGCUCGAGCGCCCGCCGCUCGGGGCUUCUCGCUCCCGCACAGACUCUUCCUAAUGUCCGAGGGUCCUCAAGGAUGGAAAGCUCACCAAACCAACCAGCUAUGUUCCACGAUGUCUCACGGUCUGUGACAAAGACCAAGGCCAUCAAGGGUCUACGCGGCUCUGCUCCGUCCCCAGCCCCGCCCCUUCCCACCCAGGCCUGCCCUGGAUGCUCUGCCUUCUCUCCCUCAUCCCCCCAGCACCUCGGAACCCGCUGUUGCCUCUGAUUGGAAGAUCCUUCCUUCCUCCGCCCCCUCCAGUUCUCAGCUCAAACUUUCCUCCUUCAAAGAAGCUUUCCCUAAGCUGCCAGUCUAAGGCGUCUCUGCAUCACUAACCCUGCAUUACAGUCACGCUGCCUUCUGAACGCUUUCCCCAACUUACAGUGACGGCUCCGUGUCACUUUCACACCAGACUGUGAGCUCCAGGGAGGUGGUGUCACCUCGGCCCAGCACCGAGCGGGCCCGCUGCCUGAUGAGGGUGUGAACGGAGAGCCCGGGCUUGCUGUUCCUCUCCUGGUGGCCUCCGGGCUUGUUCUUGUCUGUUCUCCUGGCACCUUUUCAUCUGUACCUUCUUCUUUUCCUUCUGCGCGUCGGUUUCCCAGCCUUCAGCCCUGGCCUCUGGCCCCGUGGACAACCCCGGUGCCGCACGACCGCACCCACCGCUUCUACGCUGGGGUCUCCAGCACGUGGUCCAGAGCGGAGCCCCGGCCUCCACACCCUGCAGCCCCGCGGGUGACUUCAGUCUGUAUCGCUUCUGUCUUCAGACUUGAAGGACAGUUCCUUCCCCUCACCACCUCCCCUGCCCGGCCGCCCCCUCCCCAGCAAAACAUCGCUUUGCGGGCCCUGUCUGUCUGCCGUGCCCCCUCGGAAGCAUCUUCAGCCAGGCCUCAUCCCGCUGCAUGGGCUGUUCGCGCUCCGCUUCAGAAACGCUAGCCUCUCCCUGGUUGUCACAGCCUGAGCCCCAGCCCCCGCCCGUCCACGCUGCUUCCCCACCAGGAAUGCUGGCAGUCUUCCAUCGUUGUCUGGGGCGGGGCGGGGAAAGACUGUAGUUUGUUAAGGACAUACUGCCAUCCCGGCACUGUGACGAGGCACUUUAUCCGCACAGAGUAGGUGCGUAAAUUCGGAUAUUCGUGGGGAGGGCGGCCCAUUUCCACAGAGCCAUGGACGCCUGCAGAGCACGUCCUCCAGAUGCCUCCUCCCUCUGUGGGAACGUCCUCCAGAUGCCUCCUCCCUCUGUGGGAACGUCCUCCAGAUGCCUCCUCCCUCUGUGGGAACGUCCUCCAGAUGCCUCCUCCCUCUGUGGGAAUGUCCUCCAGAUGCCUCCUCCCUCUGUGGGAACAUGCCUCCUUCCAACAGGGCCUCGAGCUCCCAAACACUCUCCAGUGACUGAGCGCCAGCGCCACGGCCUCUCCGGGUCUGUCACGUGGGCCCAGAGCCAGAGGGCGGGGUCCUCGUCACCUUCCCUCCGACCCUUUGGGGACCUGCCAUCCACCUUUGCUAGCGUGGCCGCCCGGGGCCAACGUCCAGAAUCCCAAGUGUUUGUUUGUAUGGUUCCAACAGGAGGUAAGAGGGAAGGGCUCAGCCCGCUGCUUCAGAACGUAAUUAGCACUGUAUUUUAGCAACAUUUUGACAACGAUUGCUUCCCAACGAUGCUGGGAAUCAGCAGUGCAGACUCCCCGGUGCCGCUGUCAGGGUGAGGGAUGGUGAGGCCCAUGUGACCUGGAGACAGUCUGUUCCGGCCCUCCCGCCCCUCGCUCGGAGGCUGGCCCGGCCCAGGUUAGAUGUACCCAAACCUUCUGAAAAGGCCCAGAUACGGAGGCGUCUUGGCGGGGAGAGGUGAGCUAGGAGCCGCUCCACUGACGGAGCGACUCAGACGCCCAGCCACCUCGGGGCUGGUCCUCCUCCGAGCCCUCUGUGCGCCGGCGCUUUCGGUUUCUGGGGUGAGUCUUACAUCUCCCAGGCACCAGGACAAGCAGCUCCCACUUCCCACUGUGGAGUGUGGAAGCUGCAGGAGGCCUGACGCUCAAGGUCAGCCUGACCCCUAAAGGAACAUGGCUUCCAUCUGUGGACUCUGGGAAUGAAACCAGCAGUUUGCUCAUUUUUAGCAGUUAAACCAUUUUCCCUUCACUUCUUGGUGGGGGGACAUCUCCCAGGGACCGCUGGUGUCCGUUUUCAAGAUGGAGCUAAGACGGAUGGGUGAUGGUGGUAACCCACGUGGGCCGUCCCUCCGCACACCUGGCCCAGUCCUGGGCCCCAGUCAGCUCGGGAAGCCGGGGGCUGGGGCUUGUGUUGGGGAGGGUCGCUGGGCUGGCACAGGUGCACUUUUAUUAGCUGAGUCUGCACUUCAGACACCUGUGCUCCCUUCACUGGGUGGGUAACUCAGAGCUGCAGGUAAGACCCACGUCUCCCGGUGUAUUUUCUUGCCUGUCUGCUUUUCUUCCAGGUCACAUUUAUCAGAAAUGAAGGGGUGCUUAGCAGGACCCAGGGAACCCAACAAAGCUGCUCUGCUCUCUCCCUCGAUGUCGCCUCCGGCCACGUUUUCCGUGUUGACAGACUCCGUCUCACUGGUGGGCAUGCUCACUGCAGGGCCGGGUCGAAGGGAUGCAGAGUGAGGCGCGGAGGCAAGAGGGGAGAGAACGGGCUUCAUCCCCACACUUGGGGCCCAGCCUGUCUGUGGAAAGGGCUGCUCUAGGGGCUGAGCCACUUGAUGGAUCUGGAGGAGGGUCUGUCCCUCGUCCUGAGUCCUGCAUGCUGGGUCCUGAGGACAGAGCCUGAAAUAGAGCUCAAAGGGGACAGCCAUUUCCAGCAUCCCACUGCAGACACAGGAAUGAGGAGUCUCCGUGUGGGACCCACCAAACCACUGAGAUGAGAUGUGGCCUGAAGACAGACGGCAAGAAAACCACCUCCCCACGGCAUCCUGAUGUUUCCAUGUCAACAGGCCAAGCUGGGACCCAACCCGUCCAAGUCCACCAUGGCCGACCUGCCCAUCCCGUCACCAGGCUCCUGCAUUUCCAGGGCAGCCAGAGCUUUCUAGCUUGGAGCCCAGUUUGGUGGCUUAGAAGAAGCCAUUUCCUUUAUUAUUAUCUUU
This is a non-coding RNA of Globicephala melas (long-finned pilot whale), 6417 nucleotides long. NCBI's taxonomy places the organism in Eukaryota, Metazoa, Chordata, Mammalia, Artiodactyla, Delphinidae. The record is from RefSeq and is a predicted model, not a curated record.